AAUGAACGCUGGCGGCGUGCCUCAGACAUGCAAGUCGAAAGAUUAAAGCUCUCUUCGGAGAGUGCAUAGAGUGGCGCACGGGUGAGUAACACGUAAGUAAUCUACCCUCGAGUGGGGAAUAACAUCGGGAAACCGAUGCUAAUACCGCAUAAUGCAGCGGCACCGCAAGGUGACAGUUGUUAAAGAUUUAUCGCUUGAGGAGGAGCUUGCGGCAGAUUAGCUAGUUGGUAAGGUAAUGGCUUACCAAGGCUACGAUCUGUAACCGGUCUAAGAGGACGGUCGGUCACACUGACACUGAAUAACGGGUCAGACUCCUACGGGAGGCAGCAGUCGGGAAUUUUGGGCAAUGGGCGAAAGCCUGACCCAGCAACGCCGCGUGAAGGAUGAAGUAUUUCGGUAUGUAAACUUCGAAAGAAUAGGAAGAAUAAAUGACGGUACUAUUUAUAAGGUCCGGCUAACUACGUGCCAGCAGCCGCCGCAGUAAU
This 485-nucleotide ribosomal RNA is filed under the name uncultured bacterium. RNAcentral describes it as "bacterial SSU rRNA". It matches the Rfam family "Bacterial small subunit ribosomal RNA", at positions 29 to 524 of the family's 1533-position model. The record is from RNAcentral.